GAUUAAGUUAUUAAGGGCGCACGGUGGAUGCCUUGGCACUAGAAGCCGAUGAAGGACGUUACUAACGACGAUAUGCUUUGGGGAGCUGUAAGUAAGCUUUGAUCCAGAGAUUUCCGAAUGGGGAAACCCAGCAUGAGUUAUGUCAUGUUAUCGAUAUGUGAAUACAUAGCAUAUCAGAAGGCACACCCGGAGAACUGAAACAUCUUAGUACCCGGAGGAAGAGAAAGAAAAUUCGAUUCCCUUAGUAGCGGCGAGCGAAAUGGGAAGAGCCCAAACCAACAAGCUUGCUUGUUGGGGUUGUAGGACACUCUAUACGGAGUUACAAAGGACGACAUUAGACGAAUCAUCUGGAAAGAUGAAUCAAAGAAGGUAAUAAUCCUGUAGUCGAAAAUGUUGUCUCUCUUGAGUGGAUCCUGAGUACGACGGAGCACGUGAAAUUCCGUCGGAAUCUGGGAGGACCAUCUCCUAAGGCUAAAUACUCUCUAGUGACCGAUAGUGAACCAGUACCGUGAGGGAAAGGUGAAAAGCACCCCGGAAGGGGAGUGAAAUAGAACCUGAAACCGUGUGCUUACAAGUAGUCAGAGCCCGUUAAUGGGUGAUGGCGUGCCUUUUGUAGAAUGAACCGGCGAGUUACGAUUUGAUGCAAGGUUAAGCAGUAAAUGUGGAGCCGUAGCGAAAGCGAGUCUGAAUAGGGCGUUUAGUAUUUGGUCGUAGACCCGAAACCAGGUGAUCUACCCUUGGUCAGGUUGAAGUUCAGGUAACACUGAAUGGAGGACCGAACCGACUUACGUUGAAAAGUGAGCGGAUGAACUGAGGGUAGCGGAGAAAUUCCAAUCGAACCUGGAGAUAGCUGGUUCUCUCCGAAAUAGCUUUAGGGCUAGCCUCAAGUGAUGAUUAUUGGAGGUAGAGCACUGUUUGGACGAGGGGCCCCUCUCGGGUUACCGAAUUCAGACAAACUCCGAAUGCCAAUUAAUUUAACUUGGGAGUCAGAACAUGGGUGAUAAGGUCCGUGUUCGAAAGGGAAACAGCCCAGACCACCAGCUAAGGUCCCAAAAUAUAUGUUAAGUGGAAAAGGAUGUGGCGUUGCCCAGACAACUAGGAUGUUGGCUUAGAAGCAGCCAUCAUUUAAAGAGUGCGUAAUAGCUCACUAGUCGAGUGACACUGCGCCGAAAAUGUACCGGGGCUAAACAUAUUACCGAAGCUGUGGAUUGUCCUUUGGACAAUGGUAGGAGAGCGUUCUAAGGGCGUUGAAGCAUGAUCGUAAGGACAUGUGGAGCGCUUAGAAGUGAGAAUGCCGGUGUGAGUAGCGAAAGACGGGUGAGAAUCCCGUCCACCGAUUGACUAAGGUUUCCAGAGGAAGGCUCGUCCGCUCUGGGUUAGUCGGGUCCUAAGCUGAGGCCGACAGGCGUAGGCGAUGGAUAACAGGUUGAUAUUCCUGUACCACCUAUAAUCGUUUUAAUCGAUGGGGGGACGCAGUAGGAUAGGCGAAGCGUGCGAUUGGAUUGCACGUCUAAGCAGUAAGGCUGAGUAUUAGGCAAAUCCGGUACUCGUUAAGGCUGAGCUGUGAUGGGGAGAAGACAUUGUGUCUUCGAGUCGUUGAUUUCACACUGCCGAGAAAAGCCUCUAGAUAGAAAAUAGGUGCCCGUACCGCAAACCGACACAGGUAGUCAAGAUGAGAAUUCUAAGGUGAGCGAGCGAACUCUCGUUAAGGAACUCGGCAAAAUGACCCCGUAACUUCGGGAGAAGGGGUGCUCUUUAGGGUUAACGCCCAGAAGAGCCGCAGUGAAUAGGCCCAAGCGACUGUUUAUCAAAAACACAGGUCUCUGCUAAACCGUAAGGUGAUGUAUAGGGGCUGACGCCUGCCCGGUGCUGGAAGGUUAAGAGGAGUGGUUAGCUUCUGCGAAGCUACGAAUCGAAGCCCCAGUAAACGGCGGCCGUAACUAUAACGGUCCUAAGGUAGCGAAAUUCCUUGUCGGGUAAGUUCCGACCCGCACGAAAGGCGUAACGAUUUGGGCACUGUCUCAACGAGAGACUCGGUGAAAUCAUAGUACCUGUGAAGAUGCAGGUUACCCGCGACAGGACGGAAAGACCCCGUGGAGCUUUACUGUAGCCUGAUAUUGAAAUUCGGCACAGCUUGUACAGGAUAGGUAGGAGCCUUUGAAACGUGAGCGCUAGCUUACGUGGAGGCGCUGGUGGGAUACUACCCUAGCUGUGUUGGCUUUCUAACCCGCACCACUUAUCGUGGUGGGAGACAGUGUCAGGCGGGCAGUUUGACUGGGGCGGUCGCCUCCUAAAAGGUAACGGAGGCGCUCAAAGGUUCCCUCAGAAUGGUUGGAAAUCAUUCAUAGAGUGUAAAGGCAUAAGGGAGCUUGACUGCGAGACCUACAAGUCGAGCAGGGUCGAAAGACGGACUUAGUGAUCCGGUGGUUCCGCAUGGAAGGGCCAUCGCUCAACGGAUAAAAGCUACCCCGGGGAUAACAGGCUUAUCUCCCCCAAGAGUUCACAUCGACGGGGAGGUUUGGCACCUCGAUGUCGGCUCAUCGCAUCCUGGGGCUGUAGUCGGUCCCAAGGGUUGGGCUGUUCGCCCAUUAAAGCGGUACGCGAGCUGGGUUCAGAACGUCGUGAGACAGUUCGGUCCCUAUCCGUCGUGGGCGUAGGAAAUUUGAGAGGAGCUGUCCUUAGUACGAGAGGACCGGGAUGGACAUACCUCUGGUGUACCAGUUGUCGUGCCAACGGCAUAGCUGGGUAGCUAUGUGUGGACGGGAUAAGUGCUGAAAGCAUCUAAGCAUGAAGCCCCCCUCAAGAUGAGAUUUCCCAACUUCGGUUAUAAGAUC
RNAcentral lists this ribosomal RNA (2834 nucleotides) under Staphylococcus aureus. Its description in RNAcentral is "LSU rRNA". It matches the Rfam family "Bacterial large subunit ribosomal RNA". Lineage: Bacteria; Bacillati; Bacillota; Bacilli; Caryophanales; Staphylococcaceae. The record is from RNAcentral.